CCAGUUGACCGGGUGACCGCUGGCGGAUGGGUAACUGUCCGUUGGAGGAAAGUCCGGGCUCCUUCGAAACACGGUGCCGGGUAACGCCUGGCAGGGGGCGACCCUAGGGAAAGUGCCACAGAAAGCAAACCGCCCCGGCAUGCCGGGGUAAGGGUGAAAGGGUGCGGUAAGAGCGCACCGGGUGACCAGCAAUGGAAGCCGCACGGUAAACCCCACCGGGAGCAAGACCAAAUAGGGAUGACGCGGGGCUUCGGCCCCAGCCUGUUUUGAGGCCAGAUCAUCCGGGUUGGUUGCAACAGGCGUCUGGUAACAGGCGUCGCAGAUGAAUGGUCACCACGUCGUGGAAACGCGGCCCUACAGAACCCGGCUUACAGGUCAACUGGCGUU
This 387-nucleotide RNase P RNA is filed under the name Devosia sp. A8/3-2. Its description in RNAcentral is "Bacterial RNase P class A". It matches the Rfam family "Bacterial RNase P class A". From Rfam's summary of the family: Ribonuclease P (RNase P) is a ubiquitous endoribonuclease, found in archaea, bacteria and eukarya as well as chloroplasts and mitochondria. Its best characterised activity is the generation of mature 5'-ends of tRNAs by cleaving the 5'-leader elements of precursor-tRNAs. The record is from Rfam by way of RNAcentral. Lineage: Bacteria; Pseudomonadati; Pseudomonadota; Alphaproteobacteria; Hyphomicrobiales; Devosiaceae.